GUGGGGAAUAUUGGGCAAUGGGGGAAACCCUGACCCAGCGACGCCGCGUGAGGGAAGAAGGCCUUAGGGUCGUAAACCUCUGUUGUGUGGGAAGAAGAGCGUGACGGUACCACACGAGGAAGUCCCGGCUAACUACGUGCCAGCAGCCGCGGUAAUACGUAGGGGACGAGCGUUGUCCGGAUUUACUGGGCGUAAAGGGCGCGUAGGCGGUCAUUUAAGUCAGCUGUGAAAUGGUUUGGCUUAACCGGAUCAUGCGGUUGAAACUGGAUGACUGGAGUGCUGGAGAGGCAAGUGGAAUUCCCAGUGUAGCGGUGAAAUGCGUAGAUAUUGGGAAGAACACCAGUGGCGAAGGCGACUUUCUGGACGAUGUCUGACGCUGAGGCGCGAAAGCUAGGGGAGCGAACGGGAUUAGAUACCCGUGUAGUCC
Molecule: ribosomal RNA, 427 nt
Filed under: uncultured bacterium
Lineage: Bacteria
Description: partial 16S ribosomal RNA
Rfam family: Bacterial small subunit ribosomal RNA
Source: RNAcentral